GGCUUAACCUCGGAGCUGCGAUUGAAACUGGGAGACUUGAGUGCAGAAGAGGAGAGUGGAACUCCAUGUGUAGCGGUGAAAUGCGUAGAUAUAUGGAAGAACACCAGUGGCGAAAGCGGCUCUCUGGUCUGUAACUGACGCUGAGGUUCGAAAGCGUGGGUAGCAAACA
This 169-nucleotide ribosomal RNA is filed under the name uncultured bacterium. RNAcentral describes it as "partial 16S ribosomal RNA". It matches the Rfam family "Bacterial small subunit ribosomal RNA", at positions 606 to 774 of the family's 1533-position model. The record is from RNAcentral.